RNAcentral lists this ribosomal RNA (466 nucleotides) under uncultured bacterium. Its description in RNAcentral is "partial 16S ribosomal RNA". It matches the Rfam family "Bacterial small subunit ribosomal RNA", at positions 28 to 507 of the family's 1533-position model. The record is from RNAcentral.
GAUGAACGCUGGCGGCGUGCUUAACACAUGCAAGUCGAACGAUGAAGCCCAGCUUGCUGUGUGGAUUAGUUGCGAACGGGUGAGUAACACGUGAGUAACCUGCCCUUAACUCUGGGAUAAGCCUGUUAAACUGGGUCUAAUACCUGAUAGGAGCGUCCACCGCAUGGUGGGUGUUGGAAAGAUUUAUCGGUUUUGUAUAGACUCUCGGCCUAUCAGCUUUUUGGUGAGUUAAUGGCUCACCAAGGCGACGACGGGUAGCCGGCAUGUGAGGGUGACCGGCCACCCUGGGACUGAGACACGGCGCAGAAUCGUACGGGAGGCAGCAGUGGGGAAUAUUGCGCAAUGGGGGCGAGCCUGAUGCAGAGACGCCGCGUGAGGAAUGACGGCCUUCGGGUUGUAAACCUCUUUCAGUAGGGAAGAAGAGAAAGUGACGGUACCUGAAGAAGAAGCCCCGGCUAACUACGUG